Non-coding RNA from Schistosoma mansoni, 47 nucleotides. Lineage: Eukaryota; Metazoa; Platyhelminthes; Trematoda; Strigeidida; Schistosomatidae. The record is from Rfam.
CUAACUGCUGAGGAGUCCCAUACUAGGACGAAAUGGCCGUCCAGUAC